GAUGAACGCUGGCGGCGUGCUUAACACAUGCAAGUCGAACGAAGCAUUUGCGACAGAUUUUUUCGGAAUGAAGUUGUUUAUGACUGAGUGGCGGACGGGUGAGUAACGCGUGGGUAACCUGCCUUGUACUGGGGGAUAGCAGCUGGAAACGGCUGGUAAUACCGCAUAAGCGCACAAUGUUGCAUGACAUGGUGUGAAAAACUCCGGUGGUAUAAGAUGGACCCGCGUCUGAUUAGCUAGUUGGUGAGAUAACAGCCCACCAAGGCGACGAUCAGUAGCCGACCUGAGAGGGUGACCGGCCACAUUGGGACUGAGACACGGCCCAGACUCCUACGGGAGGCAGCAGUGGGGAAUAUUGCACAAUGGAGGAAACUCUGAUGCAGCGACGCCGCGUGAGUGAAGAAGUAAUUCGUUAUGUAAAGCUCUAUCAGCAGGGAAGAUAGUGACGGUACCUGACUAAGAAGCUCCGGCUAAAUACGUG
This 481-nucleotide ribosomal RNA is filed under the name uncultured bacterium. RNAcentral's name for it is "partial 16S ribosomal RNA". It matches the Rfam family "Bacterial small subunit ribosomal RNA", at positions 28 to 507 of the family's 1533-position model. The record is from RNAcentral.